RNAcentral lists this ribosomal RNA (253 nucleotides) under uncultured bacterium. RNAcentral describes it as "partial 16S ribosomal RNA". It matches the Rfam family "Bacterial small subunit ribosomal RNA", at positions 524 to 776 of the family's 1533-position model. The record is from RNAcentral.
UACAGAGGUCUCAAGCGUUGUUCGGAUUCAUUGGGCGUAAAGGGUGCGUAGGCGGCGCGGUAAGUCAGGAGUGAAAGCCCUGGGCUCAACCCAGGAAGUGCUUUUGAUACUGCAUAGCUUGAAUGUGGGAGAGGAUAGUGGAAUUCCAGGUGUAGUGGUGAAAUACGUAGAUAUCUGGAGGAACACCGGUGGCGAAGGCGGCUAUCUGGCCCAACAUUGACACUGGAGCACGAAAGCGUGGGGAUCAAACAGG